AAAGUGCUUUAUAGGGAAGCUGUGUUAUAAUAUAUUAUACUUCAUUAUUAAUCUUUUAUUUUGCACAGAAUUUAUGCAAACUGCAGAACUAAGAUGAUUCCCGGUCUCAACAAGAAGGGAAGUACAAGUCGCAGCAUCCUGAACAGUAAGUGCUCAAAGCUCUAGAAAAGUAUCGUUUGCAUUGUGCUACGGCAGUUUCCUGGCUGGGAAUAGCCUUCUUUUCUGCAACUAUCUACUUGAAAAUUGACUACGCAAAGGAACGUGAAGACACGGUUGGUUUAUCGUGUUUAAAACAGACCGAGAUGAACUGAUACAGCAAGCCCUUGCCUCGUGAGAAGGAACGGGCUAAUGGAAAGUGCAGUGGUUAGAGACUAAAGCAAAAAAUGAAGACUGGAGACUCGUCACAAUCUGGAAUCCCACCCAGGUAUGACAGGUUUGGAAGACUAAGCACUACAUUUCUGAAACUCUCUUGCAACUGGAAAGCUGAUUUUCCACACUGGCUGUGAUUUAGGUUCUGCCAAUGAGAAGCGAUCCUAUGAGAUUUGGAAGGUAGAAGGGUGGGACAGGCCGUCUCUCUGCACCCAUCCUGACUGUCAGGAGCUCUAAUGGGCUGGGGUGGGUAGGGGCCAGACUCCAUGCUCCUCUAUCUCCAGCUUUCUAGGUGUGGGCUGAGGUGCUGGCAGCAGUCUCCUGACCUCUGGAUUGCAGCUGUAGUGGUGGAACUUGAAAACAAAUGUCCAGUUGCUGCUGGACUUGUGCUCCCCAAGUGUUUCCACCCAUUUUGUAAACACCCUGCAUUAAAUCCCAUGCACUUGAACUGCCCACACUGCUUUCUUGCUCCUUUGCUGAAAUCUGCCUGAUACAACAUUUUUCUACCUAAAAGAAAAAGAUUCAACUUGGUUUUUACUUACACUGUGACUCCUUUUGUCAGCAUAAAUGAAUAAGUGCAUAUGUUAACAAUCCACUCCCCUUCUUUUGUAAUGUAAAAGGUAUUUUCUCUCUA
Microcebus murinus (gray mouse lemur) is the source of this 1003-nucleotide non-coding RNA. The record is from RefSeq and is a predicted model, not a curated record. NCBI's taxonomy places the organism in Eukaryota, Metazoa, Chordata, Mammalia, Primates, Cheirogaleidae.